AAUAUUACAAAUGUGAACUUCUUUCUCUGGUGGCAGGUCCUUAUUAUCAUCCUCCACACUCGUAGCAUGUCUUCAUUAGCCAACUUUGUCCCCCCACCAUGUGUCCUUAGGCUAACAUGGGUCUUCAUGUGGCUAAAGUUGCCAAAGCAAAGAACUGUGUCACAUCAGCCAAGUUGCUAAAUAAUGCAUGUAAAGGAUA
Molecule: long non-coding RNA, 199 nt
Organism: Poecilia latipinna (sailfin molly)
Lineage: Eukaryota; Metazoa; Chordata; Actinopteri; Cyprinodontiformes; Poeciliidae
Exons: 3
Source: RefSeq, a predicted model, not a curated record